RNAcentral lists this ribosomal RNA (348 nucleotides) under uncultured bacterium. Its description in RNAcentral is "bacterial SSU rRNA". It matches the Rfam family "Bacterial small subunit ribosomal RNA", at positions 998 to 1345 of the family's 1533-position model. The record is from RNAcentral.
AUGCAGAGAUGCUCCUGUGCCUUCGGGAACGCUAAGACAGGUGCUGCAUGGCUGUCGUCAGCUCGUGUUGUGAAAUGUUGGGUUAAGUCCCGCAACGAGCGCAACCCUUAUCCUUAGUUGCCAGCACGUAAUGGUGGGAACUCUAGGGAGACUGCCGGUGAUAAACCGGAGGAAGGUGGGGACGACGUCAAGUCAUCAUGGCCCUUACGAGUAGGGCUACACACGUGCUACAAUGGUACGUACAGAGGGAGGCAAGCUGGCGACAGUGAGCGGAUCUCUUAAAGCGUAUCGUAGUCCGGAUUGGAGUCUGCAACUCGACUCCAUGAAGUCAGAAUCGCUAGUAAUCGC